GCAAGAUUAAAACUCAAAGGAGUAGACGGGGACCCGCACAAGUGGUGGAGCAUGUGGUUUAAUUCGAAGAUACGCGAAGAACCUUACCUAGCCUUGACAUUGAUGGAAUCUUUCAGAGAUGAGAGAGUGCCCUUCGGGGAGCUUGAAAACAGGUGCUGCACGGCUGUCGUCAGCUCGUGUCGUGAGAUGUUGGGUUAAGUCCCGCAACGAGCGCAACCCUCGUCACUAGUUACUAACGGUUCGGCCGAGGACUCUAGUGAGACUGCCUUCGUAAGGAGGAGGAAGGUGAGGACGACGUCAAGUCAUCAUGGCCCUUACGGCUAGGGCUACACACGUGCUACAAUGGUUAGGACAAUGAGAAGCGAUACCGCGAGGUGGAGCAAAUCUAUAAACCUAAUCUCAGUUCGGAUUGUUCUCUGCAACUCGAGAGCAUGAAGCUGGAAUCACUAGUAAUCGUAAAUCAGCAAUGUUACGGUGAAUACGUUCCCGGGUCUUGUACUCACCGCCCGUCACACCAUGGGAGUUGAUUUCACCCGAAGCGGGGAAGCUAAACUGGCUACCCUCCACGGUGGAAUUAGCGACUGGGGUGAAGUCGUAACAAGGUA
This 605-nucleotide ribosomal RNA is filed under the name uncultured bacterium. Its description in RNAcentral is "bacterial SSU rRNA". It matches the Rfam family "Bacterial small subunit ribosomal RNA", at positions 888 to 1498 of the family's 1533-position model. The record is from RNAcentral.